UACGGAGGGGGUUAGCGUUGUUCGGAAUUACUGGGCGUAAAGCGCGCGUAGGCGGAUUAGAAGGUUGGGGGUGAAAUCCCGGGGCUCAACCUCGGAACUGCCUCCAAAACUGCUAGUCUAGAGUUCAAGAGAGGUGAGUGGAAUUCCGAGUGUAGAGGUGAAAUUCGUAGAUAUUCGGAGGAACACCAGUGGCGAAGGCGGCUCACUGGCUCGAUACUGACGCUGAGGUGCGAAAGUGUGGGGAGCAAACAGG
RNAcentral lists this ribosomal RNA (253 nucleotides) under uncultured bacterium. Its description in RNAcentral is "partial 16S ribosomal RNA". It matches the Rfam family "Bacterial small subunit ribosomal RNA", at positions 524 to 776 of the family's 1533-position model. The record is from RNAcentral.